CGAACGCUGGCGGCGUGCUUAACACAUGCAAGUCGAACGAGAAAGUGGUCUUCGGACCGCAAGUAGAGUGGCGCACGAGUGAGUAACGCGUAGGUAAUCUACCCUUAUGCCUGGGAUAACAUCGGGAAACUGGUGCUAAUACCGGAUAUCCUUCUUGACUGCGGGGUGAAGGAGGAAAGGUGGCCUCUUCAUGAAAGCUACCGCGUAGGGAUGAGCCUGCGUACCAUUAGCUAGUAGGCGGGGUAACGGCCCACCUAGGCGACGAUGGUUAGCGGGUCUGAGAGGAUGAUCCGCCACACUGGAACUGGAACACGGACCAGACUCCUACGGGAGGCAGCAGUGAGGAAUAUUGCGCAAUGGGGGAAACCCUGACGCAGCGACGCCGCGUGAGUGAGGAAGGUUUUCGGAUCGUAAAGCUCUGUCAGAAGGGAAGAAAUGCUGCAUGGUUAAUACCCCUGCAGUUUGACGGUACCUUCAGAGGAAGCACCGGCUAACUCCGUG
This 501-nucleotide ribosomal RNA is filed under the name uncultured bacterium. RNAcentral's name for it is "bacterial SSU rRNA". It matches the Rfam family "Bacterial small subunit ribosomal RNA", at positions 30 to 507 of the family's 1533-position model. The record is from RNAcentral.